UGCUCUGAAAUUCAACGAAAGCCACCCAGCGCCUGCCUGAAAGGACUCUGACAAAUGGCAGCAGCUGGAGAACAGGUUCGGCUGCCUCCAGCUCCCCUGGGCAGCGCCAGGACCUGUGGGCUGUGGGUGCGGAAAGCACACUAGCUGCGUGCUGUUUGCUCAGCCAUAACCUUCCUGAAGCACAUGUCUGUUGGUGAGAACUCGGCCUGAAAAAGUCAACAGAAGGCUUCUGGCUGCUUCUCAGGCUGCUGAUCCCUUAAUGCAGAUCCAGAACUUCCUGUCCUCGGUGUAGCGAUUUCACAGCACAGGGCGUCCUGGCUGGGCCUCCCCCACCCGCAGGCCUGCGGUCACGGCUCGUGCUGGUUGUCUGGCCUUCCUCGAGGGAGGGCUCUUGGAAACAUAUUUCUAGAAGGUGGCCUCCUCCAGCUCCUGCCCUUCCCCACCUGGCUGCAGCAUCCUGGGGCUCAGGCCAGAAGCCACACGUGGAUGUUCCGCGUGGACACACGGGUGCAGAUGCUCUGAUUGAAGUGGCUAGGGCACUCCCGCUUUGAGCAAGUGUAUGAAUGGAGGAAGUUUUCUUUGUCUUGGAGAAAAGCCUUUCGUGAUGAAGACAAAUGGUUAAAUGAAAAGCCCGUGUUGGGCUUUGCUGAUAGAAGGUUUGAGGAAAUGAUUUGU
RNAcentral lists this long non-coding RNA (675 nucleotides) under Sus scrofa (pig). RNAcentral's name for it is "lncRNA (ENSSSCG00040066790.1)". Lineage: Eukaryota; Metazoa; Chordata; Mammalia; Artiodactyla; Suidae. The record is from RNAcentral.